RNAcentral lists this transfer RNA (65 nucleotides) under Paraleuctra cercia. RNAcentral describes it as "tRNA-Leu". The record is from RNAcentral. Lineage: Eukaryota; Metazoa; Arthropoda; Insecta; Plecoptera; Leuctridae.
UCUAUUUUGGCAGAUUAGUGCGAUGAAUUUAGAAUUCAUAUAUGUAAAUAAUAUUACAGAUAGAA